UGGCCAAGUGUCUGUCUAUUUAGUUGGGAAAUACUUUUCAAAUGUUUAAGCUUGAGAUAAAUAAAGUUUAAUUUUUUAUAAACGUUUGCCCAAUGCUUAGAACGUGAACAAAUAUUUUCUUUUUAAAUAUGCCGAGCAUUCCUUUGAUCUAUGUCGCAACUGCUCCUUGGCUUCUGGCCAGCCCUGUUCCCCCACCCGCGGGAAUCACAAACUAGAAGAAGAAGAAGCGUGGAAUGAUGAGUGGAGACCGCAGUUGACUUGUUAAAAGGCUAGCGGCCAGAAAAAGUGGGCACAGAAGUUGUUUUUUUCUUUCCAAAAUAUAUACCGAUAAUGCGUAAAAUUCCAUUAAAUCGGGUGUAAUUAAAUGACAUUUACUUUAGCCACAUUAAAAAGAACAUAAAUCAGCGACUACUGCAGCAAAGCAUAUUUGGCUUGCGGCCCUCGGACCAGCUUCCAGCUUCCGGCUCCUGGACCAGGACCUGGCCCUGGCCCUGAACCAGGUUCGGGUGGGGUGGGGAGGUCCGCUAAAAGUUUCGCCCUCGUUUGCGUACAAAAAAGCCAAAACAAAUAUGGGGUGAAUUGCUUUGCCGCAUGCCGUCGCGGCGGACUUAAAUGGAUACAGAGACGACGUCAAGGCGGAAUCUGUAAAGAAACCUAAUUUAUUGAAAAAUUGUUGCUCGGGUGUUAUAAAGACAACAUUCUACUACUUAAUGUCCGUCGCACCAUUCCCGGUGGCAGUUACGAUGCCCCACACCAACCCCAACCCAACAACAUAGCUCGCGACCAAACGCGCUUCGGUAUAAUGUAUAAGAAUGGAAAAACGAAAAAAAUAUGCUGCAUCAAAGAACAAGUUUUGUCCAUAGCUUUCGCCCAGAACUGGGAACUGUCUAAAAGCCGCAAAAUCUUACAUUAAC
Non-coding RNA from Drosophila virilis, 914 nucleotides. Lineage: Eukaryota; Metazoa; Arthropoda; Insecta; Diptera; Drosophilidae. The record is from RefSeq and is a predicted model, not a curated record.